GAUGAACGCUGGCGGCGUGCCUAAUACAUGCAAGUCGAGCGAAUGGAUUAAGAGCUUGCUCUUAUGAAGUUAGCGGCGGACGGGUGAGUAACACGUGGGUAACCUGCCCAUAAGACUGGGAUAACUCCGGGAAACCGGGGCUAAUACCGGAUAACAUUUUGAACCGCAUGGUUCGAAAUUGAAAGGCGGCUUCGGCUGUCACUUAUGGAUGGACCCGCGUCGCAUUAGCUAGUUGGUGAGGUAACGGCUCACCAAGGCAACGAUGCGUAGCCGACCUGGGGGGGUGAUCGGCCACACUGGGACUGAGACACGGCCCAGACUCCUACGGGAGGCAGCAGGAGGGAAUCUUCCGCAAUGGACGAAAGUCUGACGGAGCAACGCCGCGUGAGUGAUGAAGGCUUUCGGGUCGUAAAACUCUGUUGGUAGGGAAGAACAAGUGCUAGUUGAAUAAGCUGGCACCUUGACGGUACCUAACCAGAAAGCCACGGCUAACUACGUGCCAGCCGCCGCGGUAA
This 515-nucleotide ribosomal RNA is filed under the name uncultured bacterium. Its description in RNAcentral is "partial 16S ribosomal RNA". It matches the Rfam family "Bacterial small subunit ribosomal RNA", at positions 28 to 523 of the family's 1533-position model. The record is from RNAcentral.